Molecule: long non-coding RNA, 2427 nt
Organism: Micropterus dolomieu (smallmouth bass)
Lineage: Eukaryota; Metazoa; Chordata; Actinopteri; Centrarchiformes; Centrarchidae
Exons: 3
Source: RefSeq, a predicted model, not a curated record
CACUUAAAACUGGAAACAUCAAAAAAUCAGAAAUUGACGGUUGAGAGAGCAAUUUCAACCAACCCAUCAAGCCAGUGUUACCCUUUGGUUUGAGCAUUAGUCUGUGGAUUGAAACCUGAACACAGCUUAGAGACAUUUGACAGACAGCGUUCCAUACCAGAUGAACUGUGGAUCCCGGAUGGAGACGAUGUCCAGAGGGAUGAAAUGAUGGUGGAAGACAUGACGAACCAGGUGAUCAGUUUGGGGAGUUUCGGGACAGCCACAGUCUGAAAAGCUUUGGAGAAGUGAGCAACUACAGCAGGGUCUCUCUCAUCAGCAUGUUUUUAAUCUUUGUGUGUUGUUGCUGCCAUUACCUGGGGGAUUGAGUCUGCAGUGAGGGAGGCCCAGCAGUCACAACCAGAUCCUGGCAAUGGACCUCAAGACUGUGUGUUUGUGCCAGAUGCCAGAUUUUUACUCAAGUGAAAUCACUCAUUGCUGGUGUACUCCGUCCUCUGCCAGUUCCAAGUUGACCGUUGUCUUGUAUAGCCCUUGAUUUUGUGACUGGGUUACCUCCAUCCCAGGCAAUACAGUCAUUCUCACUAUAGCUAUGGUAGAAGUUGGCAAAAGUGGAGCCGAAGUGGAAAGCCACACCCAGACAGACAUACACACAAGCAAAGUCAGAGAGACACACACAGGGAAAAUUCACAGGAAAACACAGGGGAGAGGGAAGCGGCAGGAUAACAAAGGGAAUGAGAGCGAGAUAUAGACCAUGACAUUAUCUCUUUAAUUUCUCAGCUCACGUAAUUGAACAACAAAGAAAGUCAAAGAUAUAGAGGCCCAAAGGCAGUAACAGCUGUAAAUGCAAAACAUUAUCUACACAUUUAUUCAACAUUUUACAGAAAGAUCUUGACUGCAGGGGUUUAGCAUCAGCCAGAGUGAAGGCUAUGGAUGUUCACUUAUUUUGCUCUGUUUAGAAAAUUGCUCUUUUUCAUGUUUUAUAACUUUUGGCCUACUUUUAUCAUUAACUUCAUAGCCUACUAAGGAAUAUUUACUUUUCAUUCAGAAAUCCAUGUCACAUAGAUAUGGUUGUCAUGUGUAGUCUCCCUGAGCUUUAAAGGCUGUAGGCAGGAAAAACCUGUUGUUGCUAAUGCCAACACUGUUGCCAGGCAACUGAUCUGUCUUGCAACCGAUUUAGAUCCACUUCAAUUCAGCCAAUUUUCUGUUCCAAAGUUUGAGAGUGUGAGUUUAAGAUUUUCAAAAUCAGUCAGUCAGACAACAACUCGUCUUACACAGCUUUGUCUCUCAGGAGAAUAACUGCAAGUCAAGCCUGCCUUCACACUUUGUCAUCAAAAUUUGUGUUUAUAUUGAUUUAACUUCCCAGAUGUUUCAUAUAUUGGUAAAUGUAACAAAGAACUUGGGCUUUAACUUGGGAAUUACAUUCUGAAAUUAUUUGAAAAUGUUGUGUUUAUGAAUUGUGUAGCAUGUAUCAUUUGCAAGCAGAAAAAAAAAACACAAGCCAUUUCAAGGUAAACAGCUUAUAAACAUGAGCAAUCUGCGUUGGCGCAGGUACUCAAAUCUCUGAGGGGGAGGAUGUUGUGAAGAUCAUACACCUCCUGGUUCCAGAACAGUAUGACAAAGCAGAGAUGAAGAACACUGACUCCUCCAGAGCACAGCUGCGCUUUGUCACACUGCGGAGCUCAUUCAGCGACAUGUGGUUUACCUCCUGACUAAGCACAACAAUUUGACGUCUCCGCCUGACAAUGCAGAUUUAUUACCAGAUCUGACAAAGCCCCAUUAUUCAGCAUCAAUCCCCAGUGCUGACACAGUGGAUCUGGCACCGAGGCAUUAUGGACCACAAGCAUCCAUUAGGAUCAAAAAAAGAGAGGGCCAAACAUAAUGUCUGACAGCUUGAGCUUUUGAAUUUAAUUAAAUGUGUCACAGGUUUCUGCCUAUUUAUGGCCUGGAUGGAGUAAUAGGGACAGGCUAUAACUCCUGCGAGCACAGCAAAAAGAUUUACCUCAUUUAUCUCCCACAGAGAACAGAGAGCUACAUACUUUCAAAAUGUGAGCACUUGAAACAGUAGAUUUACCAAGGUGCCAGACUUGUGACAUAAAUUGUUAGAGAGAAGAUAAGAGUGCUAUAAAAACACAGUUUGCUCCUGUGUGUGCCAGCUCCUAAUAACAAUAUUGUACUCCUUAACAGAAACUUAAUUUAGUGAUUUAAACUCCUUUAUACUCUGGAGCCAAUAUUUGUCAAUAAAAAGCAGCUCCACAGAGCCAUGUCUCCAAAUUGUACCAGAAAGCUGACAGACAAUAAUAAAUCAGAGGGAGAUUUUAUGGAUCCAUAUUACAUUUGUCUAAGUAUUUGCUAUGAAAUGAACUUCAUUUUCUGGCAGCGAUUAUCAAUCUAUGCAGAAAAGAGGUAUACAUUAUCCCAGCAGAUUCAGGA